This 253-nucleotide ribosomal RNA is filed under the name uncultured bacterium. Its description in RNAcentral is "partial 16S ribosomal RNA". It matches the Rfam family "Bacterial small subunit ribosomal RNA", at positions 524 to 776 of the family's 1533-position model. The record is from RNAcentral.
UACGUAGGGUCCGAGCGUUGUCCGGAAUUAUUGGGCGUAAAGGGCUCGUAGGCGGUUCGUCACGUCGGGAGUGAAAACUCGGAGCUUAACUCCGAGCCUGCUUCCGAUACGGGCAGACUAGAGGUAGGCAGGGGAGAGCGGAACUCCUGGUGUAGCGGUGGAAUGCGCAGAUAUCAGGAAGAACCCCGGUGGCGAAGGCGGCUCUCUGGGCCUUACCUGACGCUGAGGAGCGAAAGCGUGGGUAGCGAACAGG